This 405-nucleotide ribosomal RNA is filed under the name Triticum aestivum (bread wheat). Its description in RNAcentral is "partial small subunit ribosomal RNA". Lineage: Eukaryota; Viridiplantae; Streptophyta; Magnoliopsida; Poales; Poaceae. The record is from RNAcentral.
AUGGCCGAUCGGCUGGCUCGCAGAAACAUGCCGCACACAAGGGUGUGCCAACUGUGUUGCCAACAGGAUGAGGAUGUCAAUCACAUGCUCCUGGGCUGUGUGUUCGCGCGUGAGGUUUGGUACAUCAUUCUGCUUCCGCUGAGAUUGCACAGAUUCACUCCGGACGGCGCGAAGCCGUUAGUAGAAUGGUGGCCCCAGAUGGUGGAGGCGGUGCCGGCGAGCCAACGAAGACAUCUGAACACCAUGACCCUCGCCACUCUGUGUUUCAUCUGGCUCGAGUGCAACAACCGCGUCUUCGAACGCAAAGUUUCACCGGCCGCAGCCACGGUUGAGCUCAUUAGGGCUGAGCUCCGGCUUUUGAUUAGCGCUAGGGUAGAGGGUGGACACCCAUUUCAAGUGCACUAG